UUCCGGUUGAUCCUGCCGGACCUGACUGCUAUCGGAUUGAUACUAAGCCAUGCGAGUCUUUGCAGUAAUGCAAGGCAUACGGCUCAGUAACACGUAGUCAACUUACCCUAUGGACGAGGAUAAUCUCGGGAAACUGAGCAUAAUACUCGAUAGAUCAUAAUGCCUGGAAUGGUUUAUGGUUGAAAUGAUUCGUCGCCAUAGGAUGGGACUGCGGCCUAUCAGCUUGUUGGUGAGGUAAUGGCCCACCAAGGCGAUUACAGGUACGGGCUCUGAGAGGAGAAGCCCGGAGAUGGGUACUGAGACAAGGACCCAGGCCCUAUGGGGCGCAGCAGGCGAGAAAACUUUGCAAUGUGCGAAAGCACGACAAGGUUAAUCCGAGUGAUUUCUGCUAAAGAAAUCUUUUGCAAGUCAUAAAACCACUAGUGAAUAAGGGGUGGGCAAGUUCUGGUGUCAGCCGCCGCGGUAAAACCAGCACCUCAAGUGGUCAGGAGGAUUAUUGGGCCUAAAGCAUCCGUAGCCGGCUCUGUAAGUUUUCGGUUAAAUCCAUGUGCUCAACGCAUGGGCUGCCGAAAAUACUGCAUAGCUAGGGAGUGGGAGAGGUAGACGGUACUCGGUAGGAAGGGGUAAAAUCCUUUGAUCUAUCGAUGACCACCUGUGGCGAAGGCGGUCUACCAGAACACGUUCGACGGUGAGGGAUGAAAGCUGGGGGAGCAAACCGGAUUAGAUACCCGGGUAGUCCCAGCUGUAAACGAUGCAGACUCGAUGAUGCAUUGGCAUAUAGCCAGUGCAGUGUCGCAGGGAAGCCGUUAAGUCUGCCGCCUGGGAAGUACGUACGCAAGUAUGAAACUUAAGGAAUUGGCGGGGGAGCACCACAAGGGGUGAAGCCUGCGGUUCAAUUGGAGUCAACGCCGG
RNAcentral lists this ribosomal RNA (912 nucleotides) under uncultured marine archaeon. RNAcentral describes it as "bacterial SSU rRNA". It matches the Rfam family "Archaeal small subunit ribosomal RNA", at positions 1 to 921 of the family's 1478-position model. The record is from RNAcentral.